This is a non-coding RNA of Chrysemys picta bellii (western painted turtle), 1854 nucleotides long. Lineage: Eukaryota; Metazoa; Chordata; Testudines; Emydidae. The record is from RefSeq and is a predicted model, not a curated record.
CUCCUCUCACCGAGCUGGAGUACCGGCGUCGAUGGCAAGCACUUCCGGGAUCGAUCCCAGAACAUCGAUUGCCUGCCGCCGGACCCUCCGGAAAGUGUAGACGUACCCUUAGGCACCUGCAUUUAAAGGAAGCAAGGACCUGAACAUGUAAAUCUUUGUUUCUACAGUUCCAUAGAGUAUUCUGGCAUCCACCUGCUGAGGUGUUUUAUAGCCCAUGUUACAGGAAACCUUCCCAUGAUGAAUUCUUGACAGCCACAACUCUCCUGUUGUAUUCUACUCCUCCAGCACAACAGGGCUUCCUACCUGGAGGUGGAAAGGACCUGUCCUUUAAGAAGUUAUGAGAGGAUGAUGCCUGAAAAGAAAGUCUGGUACACAGGCUGCAUGGAGUUAUGUGGUACCUCCACUCUAUGCCCCAAAAGGAAAUUACCCUAAUGUAAUCGAGCAGCAGUGGCUACAAGCUGUGAGGGCUCUCCACCACCCCAUCAGUUCCUAGGAGAAAGAGCAGAUGAAAAGCUGUGACUUUGUGAAUGGUGAGAAGAUGACGACUGUUUUGACAGCACUUGUUAAUGGAGCACUCUGCCGGAAGAAUUAGUACUUACAUAGCAUCUAUUGCCUUAGAGAGCAAGGCCUGAGGAUUUCAAAGGGGUGGAGGUUACCUCUCCUUUUUGCACUGUGUUCUCUUGCUUAGCACAGACAUCAUUGUGGACCUCUCAGGGAACAAACCAAAAUUCUAAAGUGAUGACAACUGACCAUAAAGGAGUGAACUUCCAUGGCAAAUGAGGUACAUGCUGCAUAUCUGGACCUACCUUGUCCCUCAGUAGCAGCCUCCUAUUCUUCAGGGGCACAUAACAGAUGUGGAAUAAACUUCUCACUAAGUUGCAUCUGUCCAGCAAUGCCCACUAGAUGGCAUAGCUGUAGUGUUACUGAUGGGUAAGAUUUCCUUCCCAGAAAAUCGCCCAUUCUUAAGCUCCGUUUACAGUGGUGGGGUGUGGAGUACUGGCUGUGUUCUCACUUGUCACUGCAGGGGCUAGCUGUAUGCCAUGGCAACAGGCUUCAAGAGGGGGGAGCAGCUGGAGCCUUUCACUGGGGCAGGGGAAGGCUUAAGUAGGAGGAUGUUACACUACUAAAAAUAGCACUGUAGAGCAAGGAGGUAGGGGUGUGUGUGCACACACACACACAGCACGCUCUCCAGCCUGGGGGUUCAGGCAUGUGCUCUUCACUGAAGCAAUGUUGUUAAAUACCAAUGCUAUGUCUGUACUCUACAUGUGAUUUAAGUGUAGAUUAAGAGGGUGUGUGGUCAAGUGUCAUAAAAGGAAAUGCUUUACCUAACCUAAUUGACCUCAGAAACUCAUAGUCAUUAGAUGUUAAUCCUGCUACCUGAUAGUAGCCACUCCUAAAAACAGGAUCUGGGAGUUGUUGGAACAGUAGCCUAAUGCAGUAAACUAAUUCUUAUGUGCUAUAAGCAAAAAGAGAUUGAUCAGAGUACUUAGGAGUUAAAUCCAUCAAGCAGAACAAAGAGAGAGUCAGGGCUCUGACUCCAUCUAUAACCACUGUUAGGAGUGCUUAGUGUCAUAACAGCAGAGGUACUGUCCCAACACCUUGUGUCCCAAAUGGUACAUCUCUCAGGGGCAAAGAGUUUCCUGGAGCACAUGCUAUGGCUCAAUGUCAGUUCUUGGUGAAUAGUUUCAGGAUGCUAGCAAACCUUUUUCAGAAGCAUCCACUCAGUUUUGGGUGCUGCAUGCUCUGGGCUCUUGCCAAGUCAAGCAUCCAAAAUUAAUGGACUCUUUUGAAAAGUGUGUCUUAAAUCCUAUAGCUUCAUAUACAUCUGCCUGCAGAACCCAAGGUGGUUCUUUU